This 252-nucleotide ribosomal RNA is filed under the name uncultured bacterium. RNAcentral's name for it is "partial 16S ribosomal RNA". It matches the Rfam family "Bacterial small subunit ribosomal RNA", at positions 524 to 776 of the family's 1533-position model. The record is from RNAcentral.
UACGUAGGUCCCGAGCGUUGUCCGGAUUUAUUGGGCGUAAAGCGAGCGCAGGUGGUUUAUUAAGUCUGGUGUAAAAGGCAGUGGCUCAACCAUUGUAUGCAUUGGAAACUGGUAGACUUGAGUGCAGGGGAGGAGAGUGGAAUUCCAUGUGUAGCGGUGAAAUGCGUAGAUAUAUGGAGGAACACCGGUGGCGAAAGCGGCUCUCUGACCUGUAACUGACACUGAGGCUCGAAAGCGUGGGGAGCAAACAGG